Molecule: ribosomal RNA, 253 nt
Filed under: uncultured bacterium
Lineage: Bacteria
Description: partial 16S ribosomal RNA
Rfam family: Bacterial small subunit ribosomal RNA
Source: RNAcentral
UACGAAGGGGGCUAGCGUUGCUCGGAAUCACUGGGCGUAAAGGGUGCGUAGGCGGCUCUUUAAGUCAGGGGUGAAAUCCUGGAGCUCAACUCCAGAACUGCCUUUGAUACUGAGGAUCUUGAGUUCGGGAGAGGUGAGUGGAACUGCGAGUGUAGAGGUGAAAUUCGUAGAUAUUGGGAAGAACACCAGUGGCGAAGGCGGCUCACUGGCCCGAUACUGACGCUGAGACCCGAAAGCCAGGGGAGCGAACCGG